ACAUAUCUUAGAGCCUAAUUCAUUUUAAUAAACAAUUAAAAUUACAUUCAAAUCCAAAUUUAAAAUUUUAAUGCUAAAAUUCAUCCUAAAAAUAAAUUUAUUGUAAUCCAUCUCUACUUAAACAAGCUGCACCUUGAUCUGAUUUUUAACAAAAUUGUAUAUCAAAAUUAUAUAUUUCCAAAAAUAAUUAACAACGACGAUAUACAAGCAAAAUUUAAGUUUUAUUAAUCGUGGAUUAUCGAUUACAGGACAGAUUCCCCUGAUUGGAAUAAAAAACCGCCAAAUUUUUUGAUUUUAAAGAACAUAACUAAUAUUCGUCUAGUAUUACAAUAUCUACAUCUAGAAUAAUGGGGUAUCUAAUCCCAGUUUAGUUGCUAGAUUUCUUAACCUCAUAAUCAAAAAUUAAAUUUACUAAAAAAUAGGAUUUCACCCAAUAUUUCCUAAAAUUAAAAUCUAUUUUUAUUAAUUAAAUAAUAAAACUGAAAAAAAACAGAAGCAUUACUUGUUUAACCGCA
RNAcentral lists this ribosomal RNA (515 nucleotides) under Samuelsonia melas. RNAcentral's name for it is "partial 12S ribosomal RNA". The record is from RNAcentral. Lineage: Eukaryota; Metazoa; Arthropoda; Insecta; Coleoptera; Chrysomelidae.